CACGUAGGGCGCAAGCGUUGUCCGGAAUUACUGGGCGUAAAGAGCUCGUAGGUGGUUUGUCGCGUUGUUCGUGAAAACUCACAACUCAAUUGUGGGCGUGCGGGCGAUACGGGCAGACUGGAGUACUGCAGGGGAGAGUGGAAUUCCUGGUGUAGCGGUGAAAUGCGCAGAUAUCAGGAAGAACACCCGUGGCGAAGGCGGCUCUCUGGGACGGUACUGACGCUGAGACGCGAAAGCGUGGGGAGCGAACAGG
Molecule: ribosomal RNA, 253 nt
Filed under: uncultured bacterium
Lineage: Bacteria
Description: partial 16S ribosomal RNA
Rfam family: Bacterial small subunit ribosomal RNA
Source: RNAcentral